GGGCCGUUAGCUCAGCUGGUCAGAGCGGGGGACUCAUAAUCUCUUGGUCGCAGGUUCAAGUCCUGCACGGCCCACCA
This 77-nucleotide transfer RNA is filed under the name Allomeiothermus silvanus. RNAcentral describes it as "tRNA-Ile". It matches the Rfam family "tRNA". From Rfam's summary of the family: Transfer RNA (tRNA) molecules are approximately 80 nucleotides in length. Their secondary structure includes four short double-helical elements and three loops (D, anti-codon, and T loops). The record is from RNAcentral. Lineage: Bacteria; Thermotogati; Deinococcota; Deinococci; Thermales; Thermaceae. RNAcentral also lists the same sequence under 3 other names.